GACGAACGCUGGCGGCGUGCUUAACACAUGCAAGUCGAGCGGUAAGGCCCUUUUGGGGGUACGACGAGCGGCGGACGGGUGAGUAACACGUGGGUGACCUGCCCUCAGCUCUGGGAUAAGCCUGGGAAACUGGGUCUAAUACUGGAUAUGACCUUUCCUCGCAUGGGGUUGGGUGGAAAGUUUUUCGGCUGGGGAGUGGGCCCGCGGCCUAUCAGCUUGUUGGUGGGGUGAUGGCCUACCAAGGCGACGACGGGUAGCCGGCCUGAGAGGGCGACCGGCCACACUGGGACUGAGACACGGCCCAGACUCCUACGGGAGGCAGCAGUGGGGAAGUAUUGCGCAAUGGGCGGAAGCCUGACGCAGCGACGCCGCGU
Molecule: ribosomal RNA, 374 nt
Filed under: uncultured bacterium
Lineage: Bacteria
Description: bacterial SSU rRNA
Rfam family: Bacterial small subunit ribosomal RNA
Source: RNAcentral